RNAcentral lists this ribosomal RNA (463 nucleotides) under uncultured Entrophospora. RNAcentral's name for it is "SSU rRNA". It matches the Rfam family "Eukaryotic small subunit ribosomal RNA", at positions 634 to 1098 of the family's 1831-position model. Lineage: Eukaryota; Fungi; Glomeromycota; Glomeromycetes; Entrophosporales; Entrophosporaceae. The record is from RNAcentral.
UUGAAUUUCGGGAUUGACACAUCGGUCGUGCCUUAAGGGGUAUGAACUGGUGUAGUCAGUUUCUCACCUUCUGGAGAACCGCGAUGUCCUUAAUUGGGUGCCGCGAGGAACCAGGACCUUUACUUUGAAAAAAUUAGAGUGCUUAAAGCAGGCAUUUUGCUUGAAUACGUUAGCAUGGAAUAAUAAAAUAGGACGGAUGGUUCUAUUUUGUUGGUUUCUAGGACCGCCGUAAUGAUUAAUAGGGACAUCGGGGGCAUCAGUAUUCAAUUGUCAGAGGUGAAAUUCUUGGAUUUAUUGAAGACUAACUACUGCGAAAGCAUUUGCCAAGGAUGUUUUCAUUAAUCAGGAACGAAAGUUAGGGGAUCGAAGACGAUCAGAUACCGUCGUAGUCUUAACCAUAAACUAUGCCGACUAGGGAUCGGACGAUGUUAUUUUUUGACUCGUUCGGCGCCUUACGGGAAAC